RNAcentral lists this ribosomal RNA (457 nucleotides) under uncultured bacterium. RNAcentral's name for it is "SSU rRNA". It matches the Rfam family "Bacterial small subunit ribosomal RNA", at positions 26 to 518 of the family's 1533-position model. The record is from RNAcentral.
AGAAUCAACGCUGGCGGCGUGCCUAACACAUGCAAGUCGCACGAGAAAGGGUAGCAAUACCUGAGUAAAGUGGCGCACGGGUGAGUAACACGUGAAUGAUCUACCUCCGAGUGGGGAAUAACUGAGAGAAAUCUUAGCUAAUACCGCAUAACACUUACGAGUCAAAGCAGCAAUGCGCUUGGAGAGGAGUUCGCGGCCGAUUAGUUAGUUGGCGGGGUAAUGGCCCACCAAGACGAUGAUCGGUAUCCGGCCUGAGAGGGCGCACGGACACACUGGAACUGAAACACGGUCCAGACUCCUACGGAGGCAGCAGUGGGGAAUUUUGCGCAAUGGGGGAAACCCUGACGCAGCAACGCCGCGUGGAGGAUGAAAUAUCUUGGUAUGUAAACUCCUUUCGAUGGGGAAGAUUAUGACGGUACCAUAGAAGAAGCCCGGCUAACUUCGCGCCAGCAGCCGC